Molecule: long non-coding RNA, 432 nt
Filed under: Cyanistes caeruleus (blue tit)
Lineage: Eukaryota; Metazoa; Chordata; Aves; Passeriformes; Paridae
Description: lncRNA (ENSCCEG00000015853.1)
Source: RNAcentral
AUUUGUAUUGUCAUAUAACAACAGACAUUUGUUUAAAAUUCUUAUCUUGUCAGGUUCAGUCUACUGCAGUGUGAAACCUCCCUACAAACUAUAGAGGGCAGGUGAGGAUUGUGAAGCUGUGGCUGGGCUUGUACACUCAGUAUCUAAAUACCUGCUCCAAGGCCUUUUCUUAUAUGGACCCAAGCCAGCUGUUUCUUCCAGAUGGUGACUCGUCCUCUCUCCCUCUGUUGAGAGAUGACUUCUAAGUUUUCAAAUGCAUUCAGGAGUUCACAAUCAAAGGCUCUACAAGAAGCACAGACUUGGAGCACAUCUCCCUUACCUUCCCUCACUCUGCCUAGGAGGCUGAGGACAGCAGGAAAACUCCAGACCCCUGCCCAUGGAGGAUGAUCACCAUGCUUUUCACUGAACAAAACAAAUAAAAAUAUUCCAAAU